Molecule: ribosomal RNA, 679 nt
Filed under: Pandalus danae
Lineage: Eukaryota; Metazoa; Arthropoda; Malacostraca; Decapoda; Pandalidae
Description: partial large subunit ribosomal RNA
Rfam family: Eukaryotic large subunit ribosomal RNA
Source: RNAcentral
ACCAACCGGGAUUCCCUGAGUAAGGGCGACUGAAACGGGAACAGCCCAGCGCAUAACCUCGCGGUCUUCCCGGCCGUCGAGGGGUGUUGCGUUUCGGUGGAUCCGUCCCGCUCGAGCUGCUUACCGCCUAAGUCAUUGCUUGAAAGCAGCCCCAAGGAGGGUGAUAGGCCCGUGUGGCGGCGCCUGUAAAAAGGGUCAAGGCAGCCCGGGCGGAGGGAUCUUCACCGUAGAGUCGGGUUGCUUAGUACUGCAGCCCUAAGCAGGUGGUAAACUCCAUCUAAGGCUAAAUACAACCACGAGUCCGAUAGAGAACAAGUACCGUGAGGGAAAGCUGAAAAGGACUUUGAAGAGAGAGUUCAAGAGGACGUGAAACCGUUAGGAGCCUAAACGGGUGGAACCGCGAAGGUCGAACGAGGGGAUUCAGCUCGUCGGCCUCCGGCGUGCGAGGUGCUGUACAUACGAAUUAACAUGAGAGGACCCGGCGUGAAUGUGCUAUAGCCGUGGCCCAGCCCUCGCCUCCGGAGUGUCGUCGGGCUUACUUCUCCCUCUAGUAGGUCGCCGCGACACGUUGCGGGGACCCCCAGGGUCGUGCCGGAUUGGUAGCCUGGACCGCAAGGUCCAGGUGAUGACCGGCUGCGAUUCCGACGGGCCCCGUGCGACGUUCACUGCCAGGAGGCCG